UGCGUAGGCGGAUCUUUAAGUCAGUGGUGAAAGCCUGCAGCUUAACUGUAGAAUUGCCAUUGAUACUGGAGGUCUUGAGUGUACUAGAGGUAGGCGGAAUUUAUGGUGUAGCGGUGAAAUGCAUAGAUACCAUAAAGAACACCGAUAGCGUAGGCAGCUUACUGGAGUACAACUGACGCUGAGGCACGAAAGCAUGGGGAGCGAACA
Molecule: ribosomal RNA, 207 nt
Filed under: uncultured bacterium
Lineage: Bacteria
Description: partial 16S ribosomal RNA
Rfam family: Bacterial small subunit ribosomal RNA
Source: RNAcentral